RNAcentral lists this unclassified non-coding RNA (2917 nucleotides) under Portunus trituberculatus (swimming crab). Its description in RNAcentral is "putative zinc finger protein 66, transcript variant X3". Lineage: Eukaryota; Metazoa; Arthropoda; Malacostraca; Decapoda; Portunidae. The record is from RNAcentral.
GUGUCCGCAUGCUCACCAACACUCGAACACAUUCAUACUCUCCUUGCUCGCGAGAAACAAAAGUUUCGUCGUUGUAGAUUUAGUAUUUGGGAGACACCUACUAAACUUUGAGAGCCUGUGUAGGACACACUAAGGCCGGCCGCCAAAUAAAACCACAAAAAAACGUGGCCACUCGCCAGUGCGCGAGUGAUGGUGAUGGACCUUGGAGGAAAUAUUUCAUUUCAUGUUCACAACUUGACUGCUGGCAAUAGCACCGUAGCAGUCGGCACUCUGCAGCACUGCGCUGAGUGUCAGUGAGUGAGCGUGACGGCGUGACCACAGAGUGACAGGCAAUGUUGAAAAAGGAGGGUAGACACAUUUUUCGGCUCGUUAUUUACGUACGUACUUGCUUAUCAAUGGACAGAAUCCAGGCUGCACACCUGCUCACUAUCAAACAAUCUUGUGUCCCACUUCCCUAAGUGUCUUGCGGUAGUGUGUGCUGUGUGGUGGAGGUUGUGAUCCCUGGCUGCAUCAUGGAUGGCUGGCAGCAGAAGCAGCAACAGUCAGCCUUAGGUACCAUACCAUGGAACACAGUGGUGUUGAGAAUUAUGAGUCUGAUGACUGUGGGAAAAAAUUUACUUACCAGAAUUCCCUCACCACACACAUCCUGACACACAGUGAUGUUAAGAGUUAUUUGUGUGAUAAGUGUGGAAAGAAAUUUAACCACAUAUCUUCUCUCAACAAGCACACCCUGGUACACAGUGGUGUUAAGAAUCAUUUAUGUGAUAAGUGUGGGAUGAAAUUUUCCUGCAAAUCUUACCUAACCGCACACAUCCUGACACACAAUGUUGUUAAGAAUUAUGAGUGUGUUGACUGUGGGAAAAAAUUUGCCAGAAAGUCUAACCUCACCCGACACAUCCUGACACACGUUGGUGUUAGGAAUUUUGAGUGUGAUGAGUGUGGGAAUAAAUUUCUCAGAAAGUGUCAGCUCACCAAACACAUCCAGUCACACAGUGAUAAUGGUGUUAAGAAAUAUAAGUGUGAUGAAUGUGGAAAGAAAUUUGCCCACAAGUCUUACCUCACCCACAUGCCCUGAUACACAGUGGUGUUCAGAAUUAUAAGUGUAAUGAGUGUGGGAGGAAAUUUACUUUCAAGUCUUCCCUCAAUACACACUCCCUGAUACAUCGUGGUGUUAAGAAAUAUAAGUGUGGGGAGUGUGGGAAAAAAUUUACUCACAAAUGUUCCCUCAUAAAACACACCCUGACACACAGUGGUGUUAGGAAUCAUGAGUGUGAUAAGUGUGGGGAGAAAUUUAUCACAAAGUAUAACCUGACCAGGCACAUACUGACACACAGUGUUAAGAAAUUUGAGUGCGAGUGUGGAAGGAAAUUCACUCACAAGGCUUACCUUACUGCACACAUCUUUACACACAGUGGUGUUAAGAAUUAUAAGUGUAAGGAGUGUGGGAAGAAAUUUACUUACAAGUCUUCCCUUAACUCACACAACUUGACACACCAUGAUGUUGGGAAUUAUGAGUGUGGUGAGUGUAACAAAAAAUUUCCCACCAUGUCUUGUCUUCAUGGACAUGCCUUGAGACACACUAGGGUGAGGGGGUUCAAGUGUGAUGAUUGUGGCAAGUGUUUCAAGACAAAGACUGACAUCGACCAGCACAAGAACGUCCACGUUUAAGGUGGUGUGAGGAAUCCGACAACAUUUCACUUAACUCACACACCACAUUCUCCCAUGGAACAGUUUCAUGGCCUCAAGUCAUUCUUUCGUUCAUUUCUCUACACAGUCCCAGCAGCAACACCAUCCAUUCCCUGCACGUCUUCACUCUGAUAUUCCACAUUCCACACCCCCUCAUCCUUAACUCCCUCAGACCUUACUACUGUAACACACAGACCAUCCAUUCUUGUAACUCCUUGCAUUCAUACCCUAAAUCUCUCUCUGGGAAAUAGUGCCAUACUUGUUUGCUAUUUUUUUUUUAAGGGUGUUUGUGCAAGAUGGAAAACAAGAAAUUGUAGAAAGAUGAAGGGGAAAAAAAAUACAUACGUAUGAAAAGGAGUGAAGAAAGGCUAAAAAAUGGAAAGAAAUGCCCUUUACUUCAUGUUCUCAUACUGUUUCACUUAUGCAGAUCUUGUUUUAAGUUAAUUAGAAUUGUUAUUGUAACGUUUAGUGCCUCAACCUCCAUUCCUCCAUCCAUCAGCUGGACACAACCAUCCCCUCUUUGUUUAGGACAACUGGCUGUGGGAAACCGGCAGCCUUAUAGACUGGGAGGAUAUUACAAAUGUAGAAUCUAUGUACUCAAGGCAGCUCUGUACACCACCACCAGCAAGUAAUUGAUUCUUGAACUAUUUACAAGUUAUUUGAUGUUAAAUUCAACAUAAAACAAAGCAAAACUAUGUACUAAGAAAUUAAAUAAGAGAAGCAUAAUUAAGAAAGGAACCAAUUGUGAACCUUACAUAUAUUGAAACCUGUAGUAUGUAUUAGUGAGGUGCCUGGAAAACAUCCAGUCCCCCACUCAGUGCCAUGUUUAGGAUGAGGGGGACCUUUAUAAAUAAAAUACUCCUCGAUUUUUACCUCAAUAGUGAUGCAGAACAAAAGUAUUUUUUUUUUAAUUGCUUUUGAUAUUGAAGUCAUUUGCCAUACAAUUAUGUAGCUUUGUAUUUAUGAUUAGUCUAGUAAAAAGAAAGGCAGAGCAAAAACAGUGACAUUAUUAGCUAUUCAUUUACCCCAGUAGUGAAGGAGGAACAACCUUAAAAAAAAUAGACAAAGCAAGCUACCAUUUGUACAUAGAGAUCCUGUCCCUCCUCCCCCCACCCCCAAAUCAGGAGAGGGUCAGACUGCUGCAUAGACCCUAGUCAUAAUACAAAGCUAGAUAAUUUGUAUUGCAGAGUACACUGAAACUUAUAAUCUUUAAAUAAAAUCACAAACAAUU